AACGAACGCUGGCGGCGUGCCUAACACAUGCAAGUCGCGCGCGAAAGUCUUCGGAUGAGUAGAGCGGCGCACGGGUGAGUAACACGUGGGUAAUCUGCCCUUAGGUCUGGAAUAACUCGGCGAAAGCCGUGCUAAUACCGGAUAAUACCAAUUCUCGAAAGUGAGUUGGGAAAGCGGAGGCCUCCUUCGGGAGCUUCGCGCCAAAGGAUGAGCCCGCGGCCCAUCAGCUAGUUGGCGGGGUAAUGGCCCACCAAGGCUAAGACGGGUAGGCUGGUCUGAGAGGAUGAUCAGCCACACUGGAACUGAGACACGGUCCAGACUCCUACGGGAGGCAGCAGUGGGGAAUCUUGCGCAAUGGGCGAAAGCCUGACGCAGCAACGCCGCGUGUGUGAUGAAGGUCUUCGGAUCGUAAAGCACUGUCGGCAGGAACGAAGGUUUGCUGGGUAAUACACCAGUAGAUUGACGGUACCUGCAAAGGAAGCACCGGCUAACUCUGUGCC
RNAcentral lists this ribosomal RNA (500 nucleotides) under uncultured bacterium. Its description in RNAcentral is "bacterial SSU rRNA". It matches the Rfam family "Bacterial small subunit ribosomal RNA", at positions 29 to 509 of the family's 1533-position model. The record is from RNAcentral.